This 253-nucleotide ribosomal RNA is filed under the name uncultured prokaryote. Its description in RNAcentral is "partial 16S ribosomal RNA". It matches the Rfam family "Bacterial small subunit ribosomal RNA", at positions 524 to 776 of the family's 1533-position model. The record is from RNAcentral.
UACAGAGGGGGCAAGCGUUAUUCGGAAUUAUUGGGCGUAAAGGGCGCGUAGGCGGCUUGGCAAGUGGAAGGUGAAAUCCCUCGGCUUAACCGAGGAACUGCCCUCCAAACUGCUUUGCUUGAGGCCGGGAGAGGUGAGUGGAAUUCCCAGUGUAGCGGUGAAAUGUGUAGAGAUCCGGAGGAACACCAGUGGUGCAAACGGCGCCCUGGGUCCGAACUGACGCUGAAGCACGAAAGCAUGGGGAGCGAACGGG